This 29-nucleotide non-coding RNA is filed under the name Sus scrofa (pig). Lineage: Eukaryota; Metazoa; Chordata; Mammalia; Artiodactyla; Suidae. The record is from RNAcentral. RNAcentral also lists the same sequence under 1 other name.
CGCAUCGACCUGGUAUUGCAGUACUUCCA